This 490-nucleotide ribosomal RNA is filed under the name uncultured bacterium. RNAcentral's name for it is "partial 16S ribosomal RNA". It matches the Rfam family "Bacterial small subunit ribosomal RNA", at positions 30 to 507 of the family's 1533-position model. The record is from RNAcentral.
AUUGAACGCUGGCGGCAGGCCUAACACAUGCAAGUCGAAUGGUAACAGGAAACAGCUUGCUGUUUCGCUGACGAGUGGCGGACGGGUGAGUAAUGUCUGGGAAACUGCCUGAUGGAGGGGGAUAACUACUGGAAACGGUAGCUAAUACCGCAUAACGUCGCAAGACCAAAGAGGGGGACCUUCGGGCCUCUUGCCAUCAGAUGUGCCCAGAUGGGAUUAGCUAGUAGGUGGGGUAACGGCUCACCUAGGCGACGAUCCCUAGCUGGUCUGAGAGGAUGGCCAGCCACACUGGAACUGAGACACGGUCCAGACUCCUACGGGAGGCAGCAGUGGGGAAUAUUGCACAAUGGGCGCAAGCCUGAUGCAGCCAUGCCGCGUGUAUGAAGAAGGCCUUCGGGUUGUAAAGUACUUUCAGCGGGGAGGAAGGGAGUAAAGUUAAUACCUUUGCUCAUUGACGUUACCCGCAGAAGAAGCACCGGCUAACUCCGUG